GCCACCAAAACAAGCACCAUCACCAAAGGCACAACCUCCUAAGGCUCCUGCACCAAUACCAACACCCGUACCAGUCGCUAAACCUCCCAAGGUAUCAAGCCCUUCACCAGUAAAGCCUGUGGAACCACCAAAGGUUUCUCUUCCGCCAGCACCAACUCCAGAGGCCACUGUCCCUCCACCUAUUUCAAAGCCACCAACUCCCAUUCAAUCUCCACCACCACCUGUUUCAGAACCACCAACUCUUAGCCCAAAACCAACUCCUGUUCAAUCUCCACCACCACCUGUUCCAGAACCACCAACUCCUAGCCCAAAGCCAACUCCUGUCCAAUCUCCACCACCACCAACCCCUACACCAAAGCCAGCUCCUAUUCAAUCUCCUCCACCACCAACUCCGGUUCCAUCUUCAAUCCCACCUGUUUCAAAACCACCAACUCCUAGCCCGAAGCCAACUCCUAUCCAAUCACCACCACCAAUCCCUACUCCUACCCCAGAGCCAACUCCUGUUCAAUCUCCACCACCACCUGUUCCAGAACCACCAACCCUAGCCCAAGCCUCCUGCUACACCAAAGAGUUCCAUCUCCAUCCCACCUCAAACCACCAACCUGCCAACUCCUUCCAAUCUCCCUACCACCAACAAUCUGUUCCAGAACCACCAACUCCUGUCCAAUCUCCACCACCACCAACCCCCACACCAAAGCCAGCUCCUAUUCAAUCUCCUCCUCCACCACCAACUCCGGUUCCAUCUCCAUCCCCACCUGUUUCAAAACCACCAACUCCUAGCCCGAAGCCAACUCCUAUCCAAUCACCACCACCAAUCCCUACUCCUACCCCAGAGCCAACUCCUGUUCAAUCUCCACCACCACCUGUUCCAGAACCACCAACUCCUGUCCAAUCUCCACCACCACCAACCCCUACACCAAAGCCAGCUCCUAUUCAAUCUCCUCCACCACCAACUCCGGUUCCAUCUCCAUCCCCACCUGUUUCAAAACCACAACUCCUAGCCCAAAACCAACUCCUAUCCAAUCACCACAACCAAUCCCUACUCCUCCCCCAGAGCCAACUACUGUUCCAUCUCCACCCCUACCUGUUUCAAAACCACCAACUCCUAGCCCAAAGCCAACUCCUGUCCAAUUACCACCACCAACCCCUACCCCAGAGCCAACUCCUGCUCAUUCUUCACCACCAACUCCUGUUCCAUCUCCAUCCCCACCUGUUUCAAAACCACCAACUCCUAUCCAAUCUCCACCACCACCAAUUCCUAGUCCAAAACCAACUCCUAUCCAAUCACCACCACUACCAACUCCUACCCC
Molecule: long non-coding RNA, 1310 nt
Filed under: Coffea arabica (coffee)
Lineage: Eukaryota; Viridiplantae; Streptophyta; Magnoliopsida; Gentianales; Rubiaceae
Description: long non-coding RNA (CARA_LNC001627)
Source: RNAcentral